RNAcentral lists this ribosomal RNA (404 nucleotides) under uncultured prokaryote. RNAcentral's name for it is "bacterial SSU rRNA". It matches the Rfam family "Bacterial small subunit ribosomal RNA", at positions 355 to 774 of the family's 1533-position model. The record is from RNAcentral.
UGGGGAAUUUUCCGCAAUGGGCGAAAGCCUGACGGAGCAACGCCGCGUGAGGGAUGAAGGCCUCUGGGCUGUAAACCUCUUUUCUCAAGGAAGAAGACCUGACGGUACUUGAGGAAUAAGCCACGGCUAAUUCCGUGCCAGCAGCCGCGGUAAUACGGGAGUGGCAAGCGUUAUCCGGAAUUAUUGGGCGUAAAGCGUCCGCAGGCGGCCAUGUAAGUCUGUCGUUAAACCGUGGGGCUUAACUCCAUUUCAGCGAUGGAAACUACAAGGCUUGAGUAUGGUAGGGGCAGAGGGAAUUCCCGGUGUAGCGGUGAAAUGCGUAGAUAUCGGGAAGAACACCAGUGGCGAAGGCGCUCUGCUGGGCCAUAACUGACGCUCAUGGACGAAAGCCAGGGGAGCGAAAG